RNAcentral lists this ribosomal RNA (420 nucleotides) under uncultured eukaryote. RNAcentral describes it as "bacterial SSU rRNA". It matches the Rfam family "Eukaryotic small subunit ribosomal RNA", at positions 592 to 1018 of the family's 1831-position model. The record is from RNAcentral.
CAAUAGCGUAUAUUAAAGUUGUUGCAGUUAAAAAGCUCGUAGUUGGAGUUCAGAGUGAGCUCAGCCGGUCCGCCUCAUGGGUGAGUACUGGUCGACUCUCUCUUGUUUGUGAAUCCCGCCCGGAGUUAAUUCUUCGGGAUGUGGAGUUCACAUCGUUUACCUUGAAAAAUUAGAGUGUUCAAAGCAGGCUUAUGCCGUUGAAUAUAUUAGCAUGGAAUAAUAAGAUAGGACUUUGGUACUAUUUUGUUGGUUUGAGAACCAAGGUAAUGAUCAAUAGGGACAGUUGGGGGUAUUCGUAUUCAGUUGUCAGAGGUGAAAUUCUUAGAUUUCCGGAAGACGAACUACUGCGAAAGCAUUUACCAAGGAUGUUUUCAUUAAUCAAGAACGAAAGUAUGGGGAUCGAAGAAGAUCAGAUACCAU